Molecule: long non-coding RNA, 4282 nt
Filed under: Sorghum bicolor (sorghum)
Lineage: Eukaryota; Viridiplantae; Streptophyta; Magnoliopsida; Poales; Poaceae
Description: long non-coding RNA (SBIC_LNC013648)
Source: RNAcentral
CCAUCCCUAAUGGUCGCUGCCGCCCCAGAUUGACCAUGCUUGCAGCACCCCUAUACCCGGAGGUACGAGCAUCUGUGCCAGCUCGUCCCUAACCACGCUCGCGUCGGAUAACUAGAGCUUCUGCUUGGCGUAGGCGGUGAUGUGACACCAUGCUGGCAACCCUGGUGGAUUUGGUAGCACUAAUAAAAUAUACAGGGUACUUUUUUUAAAAAAAACUAAAAUAUACAGGGUACUAACGUUAAGGCUGGCGGCAUAAUUCUAGAUGAGGCCGCGAAUAGACCUAGCGGAAGCGGUAUGUAUUACUCUCUCUCUCAUCAAUCUGCAUUAACACACUAAAUUAUUGUUAUCUCAUGUUUCCAUGUAAGCAACACACUAGAGUUCGCAUGUAAGUGCAGCUUACACUGAUAAAAUCAUCUCAGAAUAUUUCAUUUGGCUUUGUUCCACUCUUUCGCUUUGUUCAACUAAUCCAUCUUUGAUGCUCAUACCAUUUUAAUCUAUUUCUUCACUAUGAUCCACCUGCCCAGUCUUUGCAUCAAUCUGGCGUGGAAUGUCAAACCAAAGGGCUUUGCCUCAUGCAGAUCAGCAUGGCUCUUGGCCUCAUAUAGACAUAAUUUUCUACUAGUCUCUGAUGACUCCUUACUAGUAGUCUGUGCCUAACUGCUUGAGACAUAAUUUUCUAGAUACAGUCACGUUUGUCUCCUUACUAGUAGCUUGUGCGUAACUGCACGAGACAUAAUUUUCUUGAUAGUCACACUUGUCUAUAGGCCACAUGGAUCCUUACUAUUAGUCUUUGAGUAUAUAAGUAGUAGGUAGUCUGUGAGUAUAUAAGUAGUAUGAGCUAAUGCUUGGUGAACUAUUGUUAUCUUUCAGAUUUUUCAGGUAUGCACACAUCAGGCCAUGCAAAUUCGCACUGUAACUGGCUUCUUGAUUUUUUUAAAAAAAACUUAGGAGAAUCUGACCAAGUUAUGUGUAGAAAUAUUCUGUGUAAUAGCUAUUUUCCCGUGAGAUGUUUAUUCAGAUUUAUGUGUAGUAAACAUGCGUAGGUUUUUAAGUCUGGGUAGCCUUGAAGAGGCUCCAUUUGGUGAAUUCUCAUGUUCUGGUAGGCACUAGGCGCUAGGUAAACAAAUAUGUGUAAUUGUAUUGUUAAACUCAACAUGCAAUAGGCUUAGCUCUUUAAUCGUGAAUUCGUGAUGCCUUCACACUGAAUAUUCCUACUAACUGUGUGUAAAUCCUAUUUAUUGUGCUAGUUUAGUUGUCAUACUCAAAUCUGACUUAGUUCUUUCCAAACUCUUGAAAAAUUCUCCCUUACAGAAGUUCUUCACUGAUUAUGAAAUUCCAUUUUUGUUUCAGUACUGUACUCUAGUUAAGUCAGUGACCUGAUUGCUUCUGAGGGUUUGUUACUUUAGAGAACAGGUUUUAGUUUUAUUUGGUACUUAAAGUUGGCUAUGGUACUUAUAUGAUACAUUUUUCUUACAAAUGGUCUGAUAAAUUUAAGCAUUCAGAACUGUAUGAGACAUGCAUAGAAAUAAUUUUCUACUAGUCUGUGAUGACUACUUACAACUAGUUUGUGUGUGACUGUGGAAUAUAAUUUCCUAGAUACAUGUACUGUCACAGUUAUCUACAGACCACGCUGCUUCAUUUUGCUUUGGUAUAAGAUUGUCUUAGGUGCUGUCUGCAUCAGUCUGUAUAAGGGGACACGAACACAUGUAUCAAUACAAUUUACUCUUUGGUUUCUUAUUUACAGUAUGAGAUAUAUGAUGGAUUGUGUACUAAGAAUCUAAAUUGGACAUCACAGGAAGAUAUGUGUUAUGUUAGUCAAUACAGUAAGAUAUGAGAGCUGGAAAUAUUUUGAUAAUGUUUCAUGCACAUGUGAGUUUUUUUCCCCAUGUAUCAGAAUCUAGCAAAAACUUUUAGAAUUGGGAUUCACUAAUAUUAUGGAGUUCUUCAUUCCACAAUUAUUGAAUCAUGCUCCACUUUGGAAGUAAGGAAAACUACCUGAAGAAUUGGCUGGUGAUUUUUCAAAGUAAUUUCUGAAUUCCAGUCAGAAACUUUCAUCAAAAAAUGUGAUUAGCUUGUUGCCAUCCUUAGUGAUGGAAAACUGUCUUGUUUGCAUGUUGAGACCAACAGGUCUGUGUUUGUAAAUCCAAUCAGCCCCUAAGAUGAUGUCAUAUCCCUGAACUUCUAGGAGUCUGAAGUUUGUAGUGAAUGUGUGACCUUGAAUUAUGUAUGGGCAAGAUAGGCAAGCUGACUGACUGGUCAUGGGUUUACCAUUAGCUUUUGCCACUUGAAUUUCAGGAACCGUAGAUAGUAUACAAUGAGCCUUGACAGCAAACUUGGCGUUGAUGAAAGAAAUAUCACUGCCACUAUUCACCAGUGCAGCUGCAAUUUUGUCACCAAUAUGAAGUUGUAGAGUAAAUGUAUGACAGGAUGCAUUGGAUCCAAUUAAGGCAUGCAUAGAUAUUUGGACUGUAGGAAUUGUGUCAGUAUCCUGAUUUUCAUUGUCAGAUAGAACCCCCUUCUUCUAGCACAGUGACUUCUUCGUGACCCAUGUCAUUUACAUCGCUAUGACAGAAUAAAGUUGCUUGCCUUUGCAUAUCUUGGCAUGGCCAGGAACCCAAGGUUCCCAUUUACCUUCAGCCUUGAGUUCAGCAAUUGUUGGGUUGGGUGUAGUUUUCUGAUCAGUCUCUUUGGUCCAAGGCUUUUGUGGUUUGGCUACAGCCUUGAAGGUAUUGUAUUUUGGUGGGAAUAGAUUUGCUUGCUAGUCUUUUGGCAAAUCAGUAAGCCUGCCAUUGGAGGUGGUGUUGAAUGUAUCCUUUUAGACCUGACACAAAGCUACAAAUGAAGCAGUCUUCAGGAAGGGUGGGAUUGUUCCUUCUAACCAAACCCACUAAUUCUUCAAACUUGUCCACAUAUUAACUGAACCUGUUUGCUUGAGGUUGUGAAAUUCUCCAAUCACUUCAUAAGCUGACCUGUCAUAGAAUCAUUUUCCAGCAUUCUGACAAACUGGUGCCAAGGUAUAAUGUUUGCAUUGCAACCUGUACAUCUCCACCAAUAUUCAGCCCGUCCCUUCACAUACAUAACAGCUUUUCUUAUCCAUCCUUCUAGAUCGUCUCUUUCAAACUCAGGAAAGUUGAGCUUUGGACCACGAGCUACAGCUUUGUGUUGGGCAUUGAUGUAGGCUGUGUAAUGGGCUCUUGGUAAUUGGUAUUAAAUUGUGCCUCUGGUGAUGGUUUAGGAAUGUGGGGUUGUGGUGGUUCAACUGUGUGGGGCUUGGUGUUGUCAAAAUGGUGUGUGGGUUAACAGGUUUGGUGUUUGUCUCCUGGGUGUGGAUGUUGUGUUGGUUCAGGGAUGUCCUCAAAUUCAGAAAUAUUCCAAGGAUGUUGCUCCCAAUUUGAAUAGGGAUCAUAGGUUUCAUAAGCGGAAGCUGAUAGGUUGGGAAUUGUGUUUGAGUAGACCAGUGCUAAGGAUCAAAAUGGUUGUGUUGGGCAUGUCUACUAUUGAGAUCCCCUGAUUGCUGAAAUAAUUGUGCUUGAGCUCUAUGAGGUGGGGUGUAAUACUGCUUGUCAACAUUGGAAGUGUGCGAUUGUGGUGUGGUUACAGCAUUACCAGCAAAAUUGGAGCCUUAGCCUUCCAAAGGAGAGCUCCCUGAGUGUCCAGUAACUUGGCUCAAGUAGCCCAUUACUUGGUCCAUAGUAUUUUGCAGCAUCUUGUUAUGUUCUUCUUGUGCUUUCAUGAAGUUGUUGAGAGUUUGUUGUACACCACCAACUUCUUGAGCUGUUACAAAAGGUGUGGCCUCAUGAGAAUCACCUGUUGUCCCCAUUGUCGGGUGUUGACACCGUUUUUUGACACGUACCCGGGGAUUAGUAAAGUAUGGAUCGGCAGAUGGAGCAGCGGUAACUGAUUUGCAGGGAAAUUGCCGAUGAACGUGGUUGCCGGUGAGGAGAUAAUUGAAUGCGACUAAGUCCAGAGGUGGUGACGUGUUCGUGCCGAUGAUCAGUAUUAAGUAUUUGUCGAUGGUCAUAAUAGGAGGUCUGCCGAUGACUAUGAAGGGGAGCGCGGAAGUUGCCGAUCGAUCCGUGGCGGUGUCCCGGUCGGUUACAAGGGGAUAGUUUUAUGUUUUCCUUAGUUAUUUAAAGUCGUUUUGUAUACGGACUCCGUUUAAUUUAGAAUUUGAGUCCUAGUCGUGUCUGAUUGUAGCUCUUUGAGCAAGGUAUAAAUAUAGAACCUAGGGCCUUGUAAUCAGGAUAUCGAUCAAUCAAUCAAACACAAGUUUUUACUCAUA